UGACCUUUGACGGCUGAACCUCGCGUUGAGAUUGCCUGACGAAAAGAGAAAAAAAAAACUGUGCCCAAUUAUACGCAAGAGGUGGGGGAGCCGGGGAGACCAGAUGACAGGCGCCGCCGGCGCAGCAUGCCGCCGAUGGGCCGGACGGCGGCGAAGUUUUUGGAUGGAAUAAGCCUCAAACAAGGACGGGAGCCGCCUGCAUUCUACUCUACUGUGUCGAGACUCGAGAGAUAGUAGAGGAGGAGGAAUCUGAACUGGAAAGCCGUUUAGAGAAAUGGGAAUGCGGAGCGCAAGCAGCUUGUCGAUCUGCCCGCCUCCAAGAGAUCUGUGGUGCGUGUCCUAAACCCCACCCCAUACCAAACAGCUACAUUUCAGUGUUGUCUGAAAGGCUAUCUAUGCUCCAGGGCACCUCUCAUGAAAUAGUACAAGCGCUUGGAUGACUGAUGAGGUACACUCGACGUACCUGCAUUUUGUAUGCAUGGAAUUUCAGUCAUCGGAGAGUAAUAGCUAAGAAAGGUUGUAAAUUCUUACUGAUGCUCCACCAUGAUGUCUGCAUAUAUUUCUGUCAUGUUGAAAAUCUGCCAUGAAAAAGAUCCAAAUCCUCAUUAUUCAAUACUCUACGAGAUUAUUUAGGCUCUGCAAUACUAGACACCUUAAGAAAAUUAUAUUUUUUGCACAUGAGAUGCCAGGUAAAUUUCCUUAAAAUUUAUGUCCUUUACAUUUGGCCAUAAUUGUUUUUUUGGCAAUGUACCGUUGUAUCAAUUCAUACUUGAAAUGUUGGUUAUUUAGCUGCAUGCCUCCAUGGUAUUUAUGUUUUUCUUUCUUUCAUCUUGGACUUCUCAUUACCAUCUUUACUCCUUUUCAUAUAGCUUAACCGUGAAUGUGGAACUUAAAAGUUCUUUAGGGAUGACAAAUAAAUGUACAUGCGCCUUCACUGCAAAAUAGUCCUAUUGUUCCUAAAGCCCUCGUGAUCUGCGAAUAAACACCAAAGCUGCUAUAGUUCAUUUACAAUGUCCCCAAAGCAAGAAAUUCUGACCCAACAUAAUUGCUUUCAGAUAUCUUGUGAUCAGAAUAGCACUGAAUACCUAACAUCCUAAACCAAACAAUAGGAAAUACAAUAUAUAUGCUAUUACAAUGCAAUGAUUGUGCGCAGACUUAGUUAACAAAUCAAGCAGAAACCAGGAACAUACCUCCAUCCAAGGAUACGUGCGAGCUAGUUCCCAAGUUCCAUAGCCACCAUUUGGGUUCUGUAUCAAUUCAGUGGUCAAAUCUGGUUACCCCACUGCUUUUCUUGGCAUACAUUUCGACCAUUAUGCUGUUACUGAACUCAGCGUCUAUAUUUUCAUAUGCUAAAACUGAUGGACAAACAUUUCUCAUUUGGAUGUGUCUGGAAAUUGAGCUUUGCCUUUUGUUUUCUGUACAGUAUGCUGUUCAAAAUAUCCAUAUAGACUGUUUGCAUAUUUUUUUUGAGUGUACCAUAAUCAUUAGCUAAAGCGGAAAUUUUGCGUCACUGCAUUUGCAUACUACAUUAGUUUUUAUUGUCACUUACAUUGCUUAAUGGUAAUUAACAGCAGCUAGAGCUGUUUUGUUUUCGUUGAGGAGAAAACGCGGGGAAGGGUGUGGACGCUUAAAAAAAGGGUACUGUUGUGGAGAUAGAAGUAUGUAGAACUGUUUUGACUUUUGAUUCACAACUCUACGAUGAAACAAAAUCACUUCAAUAUCUUGAACCUGUCUAAUAGCAUACGGGAUGCAAAGUAAAGUAGUUUCAUGCCUGUAAGGAUAAUAGUAAGUUCACUGCAUCAUGUAGGCGACAUGUUUCGAUCUGAUCACCUGCAAUUUCUGGUGAAAACUUUGACAGCAGUAACAAGGCCUGAAACAUGAGAAAAAAAAUAUCACUUUUUGUUAAUAGGUUUCUUGUUUUCCAUGUAUGUUUUGUGUCUGGAAAUGUUAUGGCGAACUGUAAGAACACUGGUGGCAGAUAUUGAACCUUAAGAGCUUCAGCUGUGCAAUCUGAAACUUGCCACCCCUGAUCUGCAACCUGGAAGGCCCACCCUCCUUUAGAUAUGUGACGGUACUUUCUGCUGAAGUCACCAGAAGGAUUGUCCAUGAUCUUAAAAUUUAAGUCAGUAGAGUUAAGCAAGUAAGUUUAUAGAAAUACAACUGAUAGAACUACAAUUCUGGACAAUAAUACCUGGGAAGCUUUUAUAAAAUCAUUCGCUUUCUUCAGGGUAUUUUUAUAUUCUUCUGCAAUAUUACACACUAAUAUCGCUUGAACUGCGAAAGCAACGUCCCAUAAUUGACCAGCACAGACCUUUGGAAAAACAAUGAUACAUAAACAUCAAUUUUGAGCACGUGGUGGUGUUGCAGAUUGACAGACUGCAUAAACUGCUGGGAUAUUGUAUUGUAAAUAAAAAUAGGGCUCUAGAGAAAUAUUCAAUUACCCGCACUUUCAUGCCAUCUUCACCAACCCACAGGAAAUCCGCUACCCUAGCCAAAUGGCGCUUGAAUGAAUCUGAAUUAGGAUUUUCAAUCCAACAGCACAACAUGGAUAAUGCCUGUAAUGUUUACUCUUUGUAAGAACGUGUGCAAUAUUCAUUAGCACCAGCUAGAAUUUGAUGUGUCCAUUCAUGCAAAUAAAUAUUUCCUAAGUUUUUGUUGUACCACUUCUUUGUACCGUGCAUUACUAAGAAGUGAGUGGUGGCUGACUGACUAUAUAUAUACACAAAAUCAGUCACUAUUACUAUUCACAACUUGGGCUUGUUUCCGCUUCUAUGUCUGAAGUUAGUUGCUGCGAGUUCCUCGUUUUAGGCGACAUAAAAGUCUUACCUUCUGUGCAGCACCUAUGCAGAUGUACUGAGAGUUCUCAUCUUCAUAUUUCAAGAACUCAGCGAUUUGUUGGAGGGCUUUCUUUCUCAUGUAGGAAACUGGCCACCGUGUGAGGAAAGGUUCACCAAAACUGUAAAGGCAGUCAGAUAGGCACUCCUGUAGCCAUGAGAGGGGGAGGGGACUACCUGGUUGAAUUGGAACCAAUGAUGGAAGAAGAAACAGUUCUGGAGGGAUGGGAUUUACACCUGACCAUUCAAAAACUCCAAGCACCUGCAAUAUCAGGUAAGAUCACUCAAUGCUGGAUCAUCAGAGCCAUCAUCAGAGAAAGCUGCAGCGUAGAGCCGGGUGACGUGCACUGCCAAUCAGGCUGUUGAGCCCCUAUUUAUCCCCCCGGGGAGAUCACGUGGAACCCAUGAGAGUAUCGUCAAGUUGCUCGAGGUGCCACGGAAACGCGCCCCCCUGCGCAACUGCUCGCAGAGCCGUGCAGGAGGGAAGCUUGCUUGGCAGCUGAGAACCCGGGGAAAUGGCUUAUGUGUUGAGUGGCUUGUGCUGCUGGCUUCUUCAUCACAGGAACUGCAUGCGGUGCUGCUCCAUAGCUAUGGAGGCGACAUGUGAAAAAAGAGUGGGUGUGAGCACUGUAUGCGAGCCCCAAUUCAAUUUCAACUUCUUGGGUUCAAGCUGGUAACUUCACGAACUGCGUGAAUCCAACAAAAUUUUGAAAAUUCUAUCACUAGCCCAUGUGAGCAA
Long non-coding RNA from Panicum virgatum (switchgrass), 3573 nucleotides. RefSeq lists it as uncharacterized. The transcript is spliced from 5 exons. NCBI's taxonomy places the organism in Eukaryota, Viridiplantae, Streptophyta, Magnoliopsida, Poales, Poaceae. The record is from RefSeq and is a predicted model, not a curated record.